Molecule: ribosomal RNA, 743 nt
Filed under: uncultured bacterium
Lineage: Bacteria
Description: bacterial SSU rRNA
Rfam family: Bacterial small subunit ribosomal RNA
Source: RNAcentral
AGAGUUUGAUCAUGGCUCAGAGCGAACGCUGGCGGCAGGCCUAACACAUGCAAGUCGAACGGGCCCUUCGGGGUCAGUGGCAGACGGGUGAGUAACGCGUGGGAACGUGCCCAUCGGUUCGGAAUAACCCAGGGAAACUUGGGCUAAUACCGGAUACGUCCUUUUUGGAGAAAGAUUUAUCGCCGAUGGAUCGGCCCGCGUCUGAUUAGCUAGUUGGUGGGGUAAUGGCCCACCAAGGCGACGAUCAGUAGCUGGUCUGAGAGGAUGAUCAGCCACACUGGGACUGAGACACGGCCCAGACUCCUACGGGAGGCAGCAGUGGGGAAUAUUGGGCAAUGGGCGCAAGCCUGAUCCAGCCAUGCCGCGUGAGUGAUGAAGGCCCUAGGGUUGUAAAGCUCUUUCACCCACGACGAUAAUGACGGUAGUGGGAGAAGAAGCCCCGGCUAACUUCGUGCCAGCAGCCGCGGUAAUACGAAGGGGGCUAGCGUUGCUCGGAAUCACUGGGCGUAAAGGGCGCGUAGGCGGACCUUUAAGUCAGGGGUGAAAGCCUGUGGCUCAACCACAGAAUUGCCUUUGAUACUGAGGGUCUCGAGACCGGAAGAGGUUGGUGGAACUGCGAGUGUAGAGGUGAAAUUCGUAGAUAUUCGCAAGAACACCAGUGGCGAAGGCGGCCAACUGGUCCGGUUCUGACGCUGAGGCGCGAAAGCGUGGGGAGCAAACAGGAUUAGAUACCCUAGUAGUCC